AGGGUCGUUUGACCGGGAAGUUAGCGUCUU
Molecule: ribosomal RNA, 30 nt
Filed under: Hepatozoon catesbianae
Lineage: Eukaryota; Apicomplexa; Hepatozoidae
Also listed under: 3 other names
Description: large subunit ribosomal RNA
Source: RNAcentral